GCUUGUCUCAAAGAUUAAGCCAUGCAUGUCUAAGUAUAAACAAAUCUAUACUGUGAAACUGCGAAUGGCUCAUUAUAUCAGUUAUAGUUUAUUUGAUGGUUCUUGCUACUUGGAUAACCGUAGUAAUUCUAGAGCUAAUACAUGCACAAAGGCCCGACUCACGAAGGGCUGUAUUUAUUAGAUGGAAACCAAUGCGGGGCAACCCGGUAUAUGGUGAUUCAUAAUAACUUUCGGAUCGAUCUUCGGAUCGAUGCAUCAUUCAAGUUUCUGCCCUAUCAGCUUUGGAUGGUAGGGUAUUGGCCUACCAUGGCUUUAACGGGUAACGGAGAAUUAGGGUUCGAUUCCGGAGAGGGAGCCUGAGAAAUGGCUACCACAUCCAAGGAAGGCAGCAGG
This 393-nucleotide ribosomal RNA is filed under the name uncultured Chrysophyceae. Its description in RNAcentral is "partial small subunit ribosomal RNA". It matches the Rfam family "Eukaryotic small subunit ribosomal RNA", at positions 30 to 432 of the family's 1831-position model. The record is from RNAcentral. Lineage: Eukaryota; Chrysophyceae.